UUCCGGUUGAUCCCGCCGGACCUGACUGCUAUCGGAUUGAUACUAAGCCAUGCGAGUCUUUGUAGUAAUGCAAGGCAGACGGCUCAGUAACACGUAGUCAACCUACCCUAUGGAUGAGGAUAAUCUCGGGAAACUGAGGAUAAUACUCAAUAGAUCAUGAUGCCUGGAAUGGUUUAUGAUUAAAAUGAUUCGUCGCCAUAGGAUGGGACUGCGACCUAUCAGCUUGUUGGUGAGGUAAUGGCCCACCAAGGCGAUUACAGGUACGGGCUCUGAGAGGAGUAGCCCGGAGAUGGGUACUGAGACACGGACCCAGGCCCUAUGGGGCGCAGCAGGCGAGAAAACUUUGCAAUGUGCGAAAGCACGACAAGGUUAAUCCGAGUGAUUUCUGCUAAAGAAAUCUUUUGUUAGUCCUAGAAACACUAACGAAUAAGGGGUGGGCAAGUUCUGGUGUCAGCCGCCGCGGUAAAACCAGCACCUCAAGUGGUCAGGAUGAUUAUUGGGCCUAAAGCAUCCGUAGCCGGCUCUGUAAGUUUUCGGUUAAAUCUGUACGCUUAACGUACAGGCUGCCGGGAAUACUGCAUAGCUAGGGAGUGGGAGAAGUAGACGGUACUCGAUAGGAAGUGGUAAAAUGCUUUGAUCUAUCGAUGACCACCUGUGGCGAAGGCGGUCUACUAGAACACGUUCGACGGUGAGGGAUGAAAGCUGGGGGAGCAAACCGGAUUAGAUACCCGGGUAGUCCCAGCUGUAAACGAUGCAGACUCGAUGAUGCAUUGGCAUAAUAGCCAUUGCAGUGUCGCAGGGAAGCCGUUAAGUCUGCCGCCUGGGAAGUACGUACGCAAGUAUGAAACUUAAAGGAAUUGGCGGGGGAGCACCACAAGGGGUGAAGCCUGCGGUUCAAUUGGAUUCAACGCCGGG
RNAcentral lists this ribosomal RNA (915 nucleotides) under uncultured marine archaeon. Its description in RNAcentral is "bacterial SSU rRNA". It matches the Rfam family "Archaeal small subunit ribosomal RNA", at positions 1 to 922 of the family's 1478-position model. The record is from RNAcentral.